AAUAUUGGACAAUGGGCGAAAGCCUGAUCCAGCGACGCCGCGUGUCGGAAGGAGUCCUUCGGGAUGUAAACGACUUUUGGUGGAGACGAAUAAGCAGCUCAGGGAAUGGGGCUGUGAUGACGGUAUCCAUGGAAUAAGCCCCGGCUAACUACGUGCCAGCAGCCGCGGUAAGACGUAGGGGGCAAGCGUUACCCGGAAUUACUGGGCGCAAAGGGAGCGUAGGCGGGAGGUCAAGUCCGGUGUGAAAGACCCUGGCUCAACCAGGGAUGAGGGCUGGAAACUGACAAUCUUGAGUACAGCAGAGGAAGAGGGAAUUACCGGUGUAGGGGUGAAAUCCGUAGAGACCGGUAAGAAGGCCAGUGGCGAAGGCGCUUUUCUGGGCUGUUACUGACGCUGAGGCUCGAAAGCCAGGGUAGCAAACCG
RNAcentral lists this ribosomal RNA (423 nucleotides) under uncultured bacterium. Its description in RNAcentral is "bacterial SSU rRNA". It matches the Rfam family "Bacterial small subunit ribosomal RNA", at positions 360 to 775 of the family's 1533-position model. The record is from RNAcentral.